Molecule: unclassified non-coding RNA, 419 nt
Filed under: Hevea brasiliensis (rubber tree)
Lineage: Eukaryota; Viridiplantae; Streptophyta; Magnoliopsida; Malpighiales; Euphorbiaceae
Source: RNAcentral
GAGCUUCUCUGGCACCUACAAGUCGAAAGCUUGUGUAAGAUGUCAAGGUUUUCUUUUCUCUUUCCUUCUCCAUGUCACUUUUACACCUCAAUGAUCCACGUCAAGCUCUGAUAACUAUUCCCUUGAGAAAGACUAUAAUAGAUACCUAUACUAUUCUCACACUUUCAGGAUUGAUCAACUAAGAUAACUUCAAAAUGCAAUGCAUUUAAAGUAAAGGAGAAAAAGGACAUAAUAACUCUACAAGUGAACUCAUAUUACUUAUUGAAGGAAAAAAAAUACCGAUUCAGGCAGGGAAGGAAAAGGAUUCAUGUAUCAAAGACCAUCCAGUUUGAAAUCAAACUUGAGUCGUUUGGAAAAGAUGCACCAUAGACUAUUUCCACAGGACUGGUGAUGCAAGAAAAACAGGUCAAACACUGACA